Molecule: transfer RNA, 81 nt
Filed under: Canis lupus familiaris (dog)
Lineage: Eukaryota; Metazoa; Chordata; Mammalia; Carnivora; Canidae
Also listed under: 1 other name
Rfam family: tRNA
About the family: Transfer RNA (tRNA) molecules are approximately 80 nucleotides in length.
Source: Rfam by way of RNAcentral
GCCUGGGUGGCUCAGAGGUUGAGUGUCUGCCUUUGGCUCAGGGUAUGAUCUCGGUCGUGGGAUUGAGUCCCACAUCAGGCU